UACGAGUGGUGCAAGCGUUGUUCGGAAUCACUGGGCGUAAAGGGUGCGUAGGCGGUUUGUUAAGUCAGAUGUGAAAGCCCUCGGCCUAACCGGGGAACUGCAUUUGAUACUGGCAAACUUGAGAGUGCGAGAGGAAAUCGGAAUUCCAGGUGUAGCGGUGGAAUGCGUAGAUAUCUGGGAGAAGGCCGGAGGCGAAGGCGGAUUUCUGGUGCACAUCUGACGCUGAGGCACGAAAGCGUGGGGAACAAACAGG
RNAcentral lists this ribosomal RNA (253 nucleotides) under uncultured bacterium. RNAcentral's name for it is "partial 16S ribosomal RNA". It matches the Rfam family "Bacterial small subunit ribosomal RNA", at positions 524 to 776 of the family's 1533-position model. The record is from RNAcentral.